Non-coding RNA from Prunus avium (sweet cherry), 240 nucleotides. Lineage: Eukaryota; Viridiplantae; Streptophyta; Magnoliopsida; Rosales; Rosaceae. The record is from RefSeq and is a predicted model, not a curated record.
AUAUGUGAGGAAGAAGAUAAAUGGGUGGAAAGAUUCGAAUAGUGUGUUAGGAGGAGUUCACAUGCAUAUGAGGUGUAGUGCUCAUAUAAUCAACUUGAUAGUUAAGGAGGGUUUGAAGAGAUUAGAAAGCUCAAUUGUGGCAAUCCGUAAUGCGGUCAAGUUUGUGAGGGGUUGGUGGUGAUGGAUGUGCCCACUAGGUGGAACUCCACUUAUUUGAUGCUUGAUGCGGCAUUGAAAUUU